RNAcentral lists this long non-coding RNA (215 nucleotides) under Elaeis guineensis (African oil palm). RNAcentral describes it as "long non-coding RNA (EGUI_LNC060915)". The record is from RNAcentral. Lineage: Eukaryota; Viridiplantae; Streptophyta; Magnoliopsida; Arecales; Arecaceae.
GAUGCCAAACUACCUGAAUUUCUAAUUCAAUGACGGAAAAUUUUUGGAUACAGUCAAGUACUUAUGAAGUCUGAGUGUGAGUCAAAGUGAGAUUGACCACUCCAAAUAAAAUUAGAGAUGAUACAUCACUAUACUUCAAUUCAACAAAACUCUAGCCAAAGUGGUCUUAGUGAGAAGUCACAAAAUUUUUUGAGAUUGAGAUACAAUAUGGACUA